This 488-nucleotide ribosomal RNA is filed under the name uncultured bacterium. RNAcentral's name for it is "bacterial SSU rRNA". It matches the Rfam family "Bacterial small subunit ribosomal RNA", at positions 30 to 507 of the family's 1533-position model. The record is from RNAcentral.
AUUGAACGCUGGCGGCAUGCCUAACACAUGCAAGUCGAACGGUAACGACGGGAGCUUGCUCCCGGGCGACGAGUGGCGGACGGGUGAGUAAUACUUAGGAAUCUGCCCAGUAGUGGGGGACAACUCGAGGAAACUCGAGCUAAUACCGCAUACGCCCUACGGGGGAAAGCGGGGGAUCUUCGGACCUCGCGCUAUUGGAUGAGCCUAAGUCGGAUUAGCUUGUAGGUAGGGUAACGGCCUACCUAGGCAACGAUCCGUAGCUGGUCUGAGAGGACGAUCAGCCACACUGGAACUGAGACACGGUCCAGACUCCUACGGGAGGCAGCAGUGGGGAAUAUUGGACAAUGGGCGCAAGCCUGAUCCAGCAAUGCCGCGUGUGUGAAGAAGGCCUGCGGGUUGUAAAGCACUUUCAGUGGAGAAGAAAAGCUUACGGUUAAUACCCGUGAGUCUUGACGUAACCCACAGAAGAAGCACCGGCUAACUCCGUG